GGGCAAUUAGCUCAGCUGGAUAGAGCGUUGGCCUCCGGAGCCAAAGGCCAGGUGUUCGAAUCACCUAUUGCCCACCA
RNAcentral lists this transfer RNA (77 nucleotides) under Desulfovibrio sp. Its description in RNAcentral is "tRNA-Arg". It matches the Rfam family "tRNA". From Rfam's summary of the family: Transfer RNA (tRNA) molecules are approximately 80 nucleotides in length. Their secondary structure includes four short double-helical elements and three loops (D, anti-codon, and T loops). Further hydrogen bonds mediate the characteristic L-shaped molecular structure. tRNAs have two regions of fundamental functional importance: the anti-codon, which is responsible for specific mRNA codon recognition, and the 3' end, to which the tRNAs corresponding amino acid is attached (by aminoacyl-tRNA synthetases). tRNAs cope with the degeneracy of the genetic code in two manners: having more than one tRNA (with a specific anti-codon) for a particular amino acid; and 'wobble' base-pairing, i.e. permitting non-standard base-pairing at the 3rd anti-codon position. RNAcentral also lists the same sequence under 3 other names. Lineage: Bacteria; Pseudomonadati; Thermodesulfobacteriota; Desulfovibrionia; Desulfovibrionales; Desulfovibrionaceae. The record is from RNAcentral.